Molecule: ribosomal RNA, 278 nt
Filed under: uncultured Bacteroidales bacterium
Lineage: Bacteria; Pseudomonadati; Bacteroidota; Bacteroidia; Bacteroidales
Description: partial 16S ribosomal RNA
Rfam family: Bacterial small subunit ribosomal RNA
Source: RNAcentral
GCCGCCGCGGUAAUACGGAGGAUGCGAGCGUUAUCCGGAUUUAUUGGGUUUAAAGGGAGCGUAGGUGGUCUGUUAAGCCAGCUGUGAAAUACUGUAGCUCAACUACAGCCGUGCAGUUGGAACUGGCGGACUUGAGUGCACAAGAGGAAGGUGGAAUUCAUGGUGUAGCGGUGAAAUGUUUAGAUAUCAUGAAGAACUCCGAUUGCGAAGGCAGCCUUCUGGGGUGCAACUGACACUGAUGCUCGAAAGUGUGGGUAUCGAACAGGAUUAGAUACCCC